Molecule: transfer RNA, 74 nt
Filed under: Ktedonobacter sp.
Lineage: Bacteria; Bacillati; Chloroflexota; Ktedonobacteria; Ktedonobacterales; Ktedonobacteraceae
Description: tRNA-Gln
Rfam family: tRNA
About the family: Transfer RNA (tRNA) molecules are approximately 80 nucleotides in length. Their secondary structure includes four short double-helical elements and three loops (D, anti-codon, and T loops).
Source: RNAcentral
UGGGGUGUCGUUCAAUGGUAGGACUACCGACUCUGGAUCGGUCAAUUGGGGUUCGAAUCCCUGCACCCCAGCCA